UACGUAGGGAGCAAGCGUUAUCCGGAUUUAUUGGGUGUAAAGGGUGCGUAGACGGGAAGGCAAGUUGGUUGUGAAAUCCCUCGGCUUAACUGAGGAACUGCAACCAAAACUAUCUUUCUUGAGUGCUGGAGAGGAAAGUGGAAUUCCUAGUGUAGCGGUGAAAUGCGUAGAUAUUAGGAGGAACACCAGUGGCGAAGGCGACUUUCUGGACAGUAACUGACGUUGAGGCACGAAAGUGUGGGGAGCAAACAGG
Molecule: non-coding RNA, 253 nt
Filed under: uncultured bacterium
Lineage: Bacteria
Also listed under: 1 other name
Description: partial 16S ribosomal RNA
Rfam family: Bacterial small subunit ribosomal RNA
Source: RNAcentral